GCAACACGCGCGAGUCCAAUUCGGAUGCUCGUGGGCCCGUGACCCUACAUAACAUACCUACAAAAUCUUCACCGCGCGGUCUCCUCCCUGUACGCAGCCAAAACUCAGACCUAUCUCGACCCCGCUCUCCGACGACCGCCCAGCCGCCGCCCAGGAACCAAUCGCCGGCGCGCCGCCCCCUCCAUAAGAAUCGCUCAAGAUCGAUGAAGAUCCACGUGAGGUUGCUAAACAACACGGCCCACGAUCUCGAGGUCGAGGGCUCGGACACCGUCGGCAGCGUGAAGGCGAAGAUCAUGGAGAAGGAGGGGGUUCCCCCGCAGCAGCAGCUCCUCUUCUUCGCCGAUCAGGGGCUGGAGGAUGCCCGGACGCUCGCGGACCAUGGCAUCGAGGACGGGGCCUCGGUCUGCCUGAUCGCCAUCAACAUGCAGGGUUAAAUUUGUUUGAUACUCUAGAUUAAAUUUGUUUGAUACUCUAGAUCGAUGAGUGAUUUUCAGUUUUUUUGUAGUUUGCUUAGCGUUUUCAGUUUGGUUGCAUCGUUGUUGUCCAGCCCAGUAUAGAUAGUCUUCGUUUACAUA
This is a long non-coding RNA of Triticum aestivum (bread wheat), 575 nucleotides long. RefSeq lists it as uncharacterized. NCBI's taxonomy places the organism in Eukaryota, Viridiplantae, Streptophyta, Magnoliopsida, Poales, Poaceae. The record is from RefSeq and is a predicted model, not a curated record. The transcript is spliced from 2 exons.